UAAAACCCUUGUGAGUGCAGUUAUCUUCUUAGCUGGCUGGCUAGAGACCAGUUAGCUUACAUUCAGGAGGUGUCAUUCAGAGUUGGAGAGUGUAUGAACCCUGCAGCUUCACUGAGGACAGGACUUCUGUAGAGCUAGCUUGUCGAAGCACUGCAGGCUGCUUAACUCGGUUCUGAUCCAUGUCAGCUAUCAGCAACAAUCCCCCAAGAGAUGUCCCUCGUUGAUGACAUCAUCUCUCAGCGUGGGAAGUUGAUGGAUCCCUCGCCAUUUUGGUGCCCGCGGUUUUGAUGAAGUGGUGAGCAGAUGUAUCUCUACCUUCUGCCCUCCCCACCUUUGGCCCCUACAUCACCGCCACACCUCCCGCCACAGGUUGCCAGGGAACGGUGACUCCUUGAAGUUGUGUGGGCGGAUGGCUGGACAAGUGAAGGGGUGGAUGGAGACAGUAGAGCGAGAUAACUCGCCAUGAAGACAUUCUCCCGGGCGGCUGCAUCUCCCAAUUUGCUUGACCAGGCAUCAUUUGAAUAAUUGUUGAAAAGCUUGCAUGGGUUCCAUAUUAAUGCCUUGAUUUCCUGUGGGGUGCCAUGGCUAGAUGAAACAUUACAGGACCAGUGUCAGACUCCAGAUGUGAUUGGUAGACCAAAGUGGGCAGUGUGGCACAACAUGGGCGGGAAAAGCUGCGAUGAUACAUCAAAGGGUCAGCCACUGGAAAUAGCCAUGGCAACCAGUCCGACUCACCAUGACAUCGCCACAGAGGGCAAACACGCCGUGUGAGGUCUUUUAGGAUGUCAUAAAACACUGACUCAGAUACGAAAUAGACCGUCUGGGAAAGACAAAAGCUCUCUCUCACACACACACACACACACACACACCCUGACAAACAAAGAUUUUGUACUCCAUAUUCAACAUUUCUCUCUAGAACAUCUUGCUGAUAGAAUAUUGACUGUCUACCACAGUGCACUGUACGCUCUCGUGCACUUUACUGUUGUUUAUAUACAGAACUUUAUAACCUAGUUUCUAGUUACUAUGGUUACCUCAUGCUCAGCGGAUGGAUGUCUCUUUAUCAGAGAGAGAGAGUGCGAGAAAGAGAGAGAUGUGCGCUAUGAAUGUAUUCACCAAAGCUCAAUUAAAUCUUGUGAUUUAGUUGAAAUGGAAUAAGAUUUUAAUUUGUUGUUGUCCGGUUAAAAGAAAAGGAAAACACACAUACACACUGACGAAACACAGAGUUAUAAAAUGAUGCAAAAGCAGAGAUACAGCAGUAGCAACAGAGCUGAAUAUCCAGCCUGAAGGGGAUAAUGGUAUUGUUAUUUUUUAUAGCUCUAUAGAAGCACUGUGUGUAUAACAUGUCGAACAGUCAUAAUAAGCCUUGGAGCAGCAAUGAUGGAAGUAGAUCACUCAGAACAAAGAAUGGUUAUAGUUAAAGCACUGAUUGAAUGAAUGGAAUCUAAUAAUACAGGUGAGAGCCUUGAGAUAAUUGAGCAAUAAGCUGUCCUUGUUUUAUUUAGCUGAGGAAAUGUUUUUAAUGUUAGGGAAGACAUUUUAACAGCUGUCUACAAAUCACUCUGAGUCGGUCUUUGCUUUCAACAUCACAUCCUUGCACUAGUUUCUCCCUCAAAACUUUCUCAGAUCAUCAGCUAUGCAAGUUAAAUAAUGAGCACCAGCCAGUCCUGACUGUCAGAUCUGUAUACGCAGUCAGUUAGAUGUACAGCAACCUUCAUCACCUAGGGCCCUUCACACCUCCUCAUUACUCAGUCCAACUCUUCCCAUCAGGACGCCGUUAUAAAACCUUCUCGCCAGAACAAACAUAUUCAAAAAGUAAUUCAUUGUAACUGCCAUUAAAAUGAUAAACAAGCAGUGAGAGACUAAUUAGUCUCACAUAUUUGUACUUUGGCAUUUCCUGUACAGCCAUACUAGUAGUUAUAGUUCUUAACUAUGAAUGUAAUAUAAUCUAUUUCUGGAGUGGCCCUAGGGAUGGCAAUGCUGGUCUGUCAGUUGGUUGGUCCACCACUUUGGUCCAGACUGAAACAUCUCAACAACACCUGGAUGGAUUGCUGUGAAACUUAGUACAGAUAUUUACAGUGCCCAAAGGAUGAAUCCUACUGACUUUGGUCCCAUGACUUUUCAUCAAGCACCACCAAGAGGGAAGUUGAAGGUUAAGGUCAACUACAGAACUCUACCCUGAAGCAACUGCACUUGUUCAGAUCCAGCAUCUUGCUUAAGGACACUUCAGCAGUGUGGACCGGAAGCUCGGCGACCCAGGACCUUGAAUUUGGGACCCCACUUUAGAACUCUGCUAUAUUUAAUGUGCUUGCAUAAAAGCGUGUGCAUGGGAGCAAAUCAUUAGACCACUAGCCUAAUGAUGCUGCUUAUAAACCAGGGCAAAAUGAGGUGAAGUGCCCACUUACAGAUGUAGAGGCUGAUGACAAAUGGCUGUGACCUUGACUACAUGGUAAUGGUGGAGUCAUCGUCGCCAAUAGUGAAGCAACAACAGUCAUCACAUCAAUUAAGCCUGAGAUCAUGCACAGUAAGACCUUAUACAGGUGCAUUAUGAAUAAAAAAAGGCAAAGUUGAUUCAGGUUACAGCAGAUCUGCUGCUGUGAUUUCAAUUUGUCUUAACACUGAGCUCCUGAAUCUCCCUUAUUUAAAUAUUCCAAAUGUAUUUCCAUGGAAACAGGACCAGAAAAAACAACAGUAAAUUACAUAAAGUGAUUACAUGCUUCAGCAUCGUAUAUAAAUUAAUAUAUCCCACCAAGUACUUACCACAGAUUUUGUUCUUGGUAGAAUUUAGCACAUUAAUCACAGAAAAUUAUAAAACGCUCAAAACACUGUUUCUCCUAAAGAAAACCUCUAUCUGAGAUACAGUACAUAUAGUUUUCAGAAUGUUAUAUAUUGCAAUCAUCUUGUGUGUCUCAUAUCCUGACAGCAUGUGUGACUAAAACUGGAAUUAAGAGAGGGGAUUCUAUAUUUCUUUUGGCUUCCAGUUUAAUUCAAAAUGGAUUUAAAAGGACAUUUAGUUAUUAUCAAAGUAUUAGCCAGCUUUUCACUAGCUUACAGGACAUUGCAGAGCUUUUAUUGGGUUCGAUCUACUUGCAAAACGGAUUUUAAAGUGAUAACUUGAAAGUAAUUUUUAAAUACUUAGAUUGGACUUGUUUUUUUAAUCUGUCAUUAUGCUGUUGCACUAUGUAAAGCUUGAUUUUAAAUAUGUUUUUCAA
Long non-coding RNA from Thunnus maccoyii (southern bluefin tuna), 3209 nucleotides. RefSeq lists it as uncharacterized. NCBI's taxonomy places the organism in Eukaryota, Metazoa, Chordata, Actinopteri, Scombriformes, Scombridae. The transcript is spliced from 5 exons. The record is from RefSeq and is a predicted model, not a curated record.